UGCGAGUGAAGCGGCAACAGCUCAGAUUUGAAAUCUCUUUAAUUAAUUAAAGCGAAUUGUAAUCUGUAGAAGGGUGAAUGGCUAAUGCUCUGGUUUAAAUUUUCUGGAAUGAAAUAUCAUAGAGGGUGAGAAUCCCGUGAGCACCAGCAGUCUAGGCCAAUUAAUUCCCCUUUCGACGAGUCGAUUAGUUUGAGAAUGCUGAUCUAAAUGGGUGGUAAAUUUCAUCUAAAGCUAAAUAUCUGCCAGAGACCGAUAGCGAACAAGUAGAGUGAUCGAAAGAUGAAAAGCACUUUGAAAAGAGAGUUAAAAAGUACGUGAAAUUGUUGAAAGGGAAGCGCUUGCAAUUAGACUUGAUAAUUUAAUUCGAUCAAUCUACGGAUUCGAUUUAUUUUUUUAUUAUCAGGCCAGCAUCAGUUUAAUGAAAUUAAUAAAAAUAAUCGGAAUGUAUUAAUUAAUUUAUUAAUUAAACUUACAGCCUUUUAUAUCAUUAAUUUAUAUUAGACUGAGGUCUGCUCUUUUGAAAGGAUGCUGGCAUAAUGAUUGUAAGCGACCCGUCUUGAAACACGG
RNAcentral lists this ribosomal RNA (567 nucleotides) under Tricharia amazonum. RNAcentral's name for it is "eukaryotic LSU rRNA". It matches the Rfam family "Eukaryotic large subunit ribosomal RNA", at positions 88 to 664 of the family's 3401-position model. The record is from RNAcentral. Lineage: Eukaryota; Fungi; Ascomycota; Lecanoromycetes; Ostropales; Graphidaceae.